This 450-nucleotide ribosomal RNA is filed under the name uncultured bacterium. Its description in RNAcentral is "partial 16S ribosomal RNA". It matches the Rfam family "Bacterial small subunit ribosomal RNA", at positions 354 to 796 of the family's 1533-position model. The record is from RNAcentral.
GUGGGGAAUAUUGGACAAUGGGCGAAAGCCUGAUCCAGCCAUGCCGCGUGUGUGAAGAAGGUCUUCGGAUUGUAAAGCACUUUAAGUUGGGAGGAAGGGCAUUAACCUAAUACGUUAGUGUUUUGACGUUACCGACAGAAUAAGCACCGGCUAACUUCGUGCCAGCAGCCGCGGUAAUACGAAGGGUGCAAGCGUUAAUCGGAAUUACUGGGCGUAAAGCGUGCGUAGGCGGUCUCGUAAGUUAGGAGUGAAAGCCCAGGGCUCAACCUUGGAAUUGCUCUUAAUACUGCAAGGCUAGAAUCUCGGAGAGGAUAGCGGAAUUUCCAGUGUAGCAGUGAAAUGCGUAGAUAUUGGAAGGAACACCAGUGGCGUAAGCGGCUAUCUGGACGAGUAUUGACGCUGAGGCACGAAAGCGUGGGGAUCAAACAGGAUUAGAUACCCUGGUAGUCC